This 200-nucleotide ribosomal RNA is filed under the name uncultured bacterium. Its description in RNAcentral is "partial 16S ribosomal RNA". It matches the Rfam family "Bacterial small subunit ribosomal RNA", at positions 30 to 230 of the family's 1533-position model. The record is from RNAcentral.
AUUGAACGCUGGCGGCAUGCCUUACACAUGCAAGUCGAACGGCAGCACGGGAGCAAUCCUGGUGGCGAGUGGCGAACGGGUGUGUAAUACAUCGGAACGUGCCCAAUCGUGGGGGAUAACGCAGCGAAAGCUGUGCUAAUACCGCAUAAGAUCUACGGAUGAAAGCAGGGGACCGCAAGGCCUUGCGCGAAUGGAGCGGC